RNAcentral lists this small nuclear RNA (19 nucleotides) under Arabidopsis thaliana (thale cress). Its description in RNAcentral is "snRNA_18938". The record is from RNAcentral. Lineage: Eukaryota; Viridiplantae; Streptophyta; Magnoliopsida; Brassicales; Brassicaceae.
UGAAUAAGAGAAACUAUCU